AACGCGAAGAACCUUACCAGCCCUUGACAUCCCGGUCGCGGACUCCAGAGAUGGAGUUCUUCAGUUCGGCUGGACCGGAGACAGGUGCUGCAUGGCUGUCGUCAGCUCGUGUCGUGAGAUGUUGGGUUAAGUCCCGCAACGAGCGCAACCCCCGUCCUUAGUUGCUACCAUUUAGUUGAGCACUCUAAGGAGACUGCCGGUGAUAAGCCGCGAGGAAGGUGGGGAUGACGUCAAGUCCUCAUGGCCCUUACGGGCUGGGCUACACACGUGCUACAAUGGCGGUGACAAUGGGAUGCGAAGGCGCAAGUCCUAGCAAAUCUCAAAAAGCCGUCUCAGUUCGGAUUGGGCUCUGCAACUCGAGCCCAUGAAGUUGGAAUCGCUAGUAAUCGUGGAUCAGCACGCCACGGUGAAUACGUUCCCGGGCCUUGUACACACCGGCUAC
This 442-nucleotide ribosomal RNA is filed under the name uncultured bacterium. RNAcentral's name for it is "bacterial SSU rRNA". It matches the Rfam family "Bacterial small subunit ribosomal RNA", at positions 958 to 1397 of the family's 1533-position model. The record is from RNAcentral.